UACAGAGGUCCCAAGCGUUGUUCGGAUUUACUGGGCGUAAAGGGUGCGUAGGUGGUGGGGUAAGUUUGAUGUGAAAUCUCCGGGCUUAACCCGGAAAUGGCAUUGAAUACUAUCCCGCUAGAGGAUCGGAGGGGAGACUGGAAUUCUCGGUGUAGCAGUGAAAUGCGUAGAUAUCGAGAGGAACACCAGUGGCGAAGGCGAGUCUCUGGACGAUUCCUGACACUGAGGCACGAAAGCUAGGGGAGCAAACAGG
Molecule: ribosomal RNA, 253 nt
Filed under: uncultured bacterium
Lineage: Bacteria
Description: partial 16S ribosomal RNA
Rfam family: Bacterial small subunit ribosomal RNA
Source: RNAcentral